UUCCAUGCCUCCUAGAAGUUCC
Molecule: microRNA, 22 nt
Filed under: Pongo abelii (Sumatran orangutan)
Lineage: Eukaryota; Metazoa; Chordata; Mammalia; Primates; Hominidae
Also listed under: 1 other name
Description: Pab-Mir-5581_3p (mature (co-guide))
Source: RNAcentral